GACACUCUUCAGCUUCUAGACCCGAAAUAAUCCCUCUCUGGCAAUCAAGGUGGGAUUUGUUAAAAGCCGUGACCCAUGAAGGAGAAUCAAGUAAAUCAAUGGAAGAAUCAUCAGCAAUUCAUCUCUGACAUGGCAAGUUUGAGAGAUGAGAUAUGAGAGACAGAAAGCAUGGAAGAUUGGAAGAGAAGAAGACAAAUUUUACUCAAAUGUUGAAAGGAAAUAUUAAAGCUUUACCUGUAAUCUUUACUUUUCCUUCACGUUGAGAGAUGAGAGACAAAGAGAGCAUUGGGGCUGUGAAUGAAGGGACCCUUCAAUGUGAAAGCAUUCAAAGACUUAAACAAGGGAGAGGGCGGCUGUG
This 358-nucleotide long non-coding RNA is filed under the name Populus trichocarpa (black cottonwood). RNAcentral's name for it is "long non-coding RNA (PTRI_LNC000253)". The record is from RNAcentral. Lineage: Eukaryota; Viridiplantae; Streptophyta; Magnoliopsida; Malpighiales; Salicaceae.